GUGUGUGAUGGUGUGUGAUGGUGUGUGAUGGUGUAUGAUGGGUGUAUGAUGGUGUGUGAUGGUGUAUGAUGGGUGUAUGAUGGUGUAUGAUGGUGUAUGAUGGUGUAUGUCAUGUCCCACCACUGCGAUUCCUGUUGUGUCAGAAGGAGCCUUGCUCCACGGGUCCAUCCCUGCGCCUGCGGAGCAGCACCAGCCCUGGCACAUGGAUAACCCAGCACCGGGCACCCAGCACCCUGGUG
Long non-coding RNA from Pezoporus occidentalis (night parrot), 239 nucleotides. RefSeq lists it as uncharacterized. The record is from RefSeq and is a predicted model, not a curated record. The transcript has 3 exons. NCBI's taxonomy places the organism in Eukaryota, Metazoa, Chordata, Aves, Psittaciformes, Psittacidae.